Molecule: ribosomal RNA, 1372 nt
Filed under: uncultured bacterium
Lineage: Bacteria
Description: bacterial SSU rRNA
Rfam family: Bacterial small subunit ribosomal RNA
Source: RNAcentral
GAUGAACGCUGGCGGCGUGCCUAAUACAUGCAAGUCGAGCGAACGGACGAGAAGCUUGCUUCUCUGAUGUUAGCGGCGGACGGGUGAGUAACACGUGGAUAACCUACCUAUAAGACUGGGAUAACUUCGGGAAACCGGAGCUAAUACCGGAUAAUAUUUUGAACCGCAUGGUUCAAAAGUGAAAGACGGUCUUGCUGUCACUUAUAGAUGGAUCCGCGCUGCAUUAGCUAGUUGGUAAGGUAACGGCUUACCAAGGCAACGAUGCAUAGCCGACCUGAGAGGGUGAUCGGCCACACUGGAACUGAGACACGGUCCAGACUCCUACGGGAGGCAGCAGUAGGGAAUCUUCCGCAAUGGGCGAAAGCCUGACGGAGCAACGCCGCGUGAGUGAUGAAGGUCUUCGGAUCGUAAAACUCUGUUAUUAGGGAAGAACAUAUGUGUAAGUAACUGUGCACAUCUUGACGGUACCUAAUCAGAAAGCCACGGCUAACUACGUGCCAGCAGCCGCGGUAAUACGUAGGUGGCAAGCGUUAUCCGGAAUUAUUGGGCGUAAAGCGCGCGUAGGCGGUUUUUUAAGUCUGAUGUGAAAGCCCACGGCUCAACCGUGGAGGGUCAUUGGAAACUGGAAAACUUGAGUGCAGAAGAGGAAAGUGGAAUUCCAUGUGUAGCGGUGAAAUGCGCAGAGAUAUGGAGGAACACCAGUGGCGAAGGCGACUUUCUGGUCUGUAACUGACGCUGAUGUGCGAAAGCGUGGGGAUCAAACAGGAUUAGAUACCCUGGUAGUCCACGCCGUAAACGAUGAGUGCUAAGUGUUAGGGGGUUUCCGCCCCUUAGUGCUGCAGCUAACGCAUUAAGCACUCCGCCUGGGGAGUACGACCGCAAGGUUGAAACUCAAAGGAAUUGACGGGGACCCGCACAAGCGGUGGAGCAUGUGGUUUAAUUCGAAGCAACGCGAAGAACCUUACCAAAUCUUGACAUCCUUUGACAACUCUAGAGAUAGAGCUUUCCCCUUCGGGGGACAAAGUGACAGGUGGUGCAUGGUUGUCGUCAGCUCGUGUCGUGAGAUGUUGGGUUAAGUCCCGCAACGAGCGCAACCCUUAAGCUUAGUUGCCAUCAUUAAGUUGGGCACUCUAAGUUGACUGCCGGUGACAAACCGGGGGAAGGUGGGGAUGACGUCAAAUCAUCAUGCCCCUUAUGAUUUGGGCUACACACGUGCUACAAUGGACAAUACAAAGGGCAGCGAAACCGCGAGGUCAAGCAAAUCCCAUAAAGUUGUUCUCAGUUCGGAUUGUAGUCUGCAACUCGCCUACAUGAAGCUGGAAUCGCUAGUAAUCGUAGAUCAGCAUGCUACGGUGAAUACGUUCCCGGGUCU